RNAcentral lists this ribosomal RNA (397 nucleotides) under uncultured bacterium. Its description in RNAcentral is "partial 16S ribosomal RNA". It matches the Rfam family "Bacterial small subunit ribosomal RNA", at positions 523 to 918 of the family's 1533-position model. The record is from RNAcentral.
AUACGUAGGUGGCAAGCGUUAUCCGGAUUCACUGGGUGUAAAGGGCGCGUAGGCGGGGGUGCAAGUCAGAUGUGAAAUCUAUGGGCUUAACUCAUAAACUGCAUUUGAAACUGUAUCUCUUGAGUGCUGGAGAGGUAGACGGAAUUCCUUGUGUAGCGGUGAAAUGAGUAGAUAUAAGGAAGAACACCAGUGGCGAAGGCGGUCUACUGGAGAGUAACUGACGCUGAGGGGCGAAAGCGUGGGGAGCAAACAGGAUUAGAUACCCUGGUAGUCCACGCUCUAAACGAUGAAUACUAGGUGUCGGGUUUCUAUAGAGAUUCGGUGCCGCAGCAAACGCAAUAAGUAUGCCCCCUGGGGAGUAUGUGCGCAAGAAUGAAACUCAAAGGAGUUGGCGCGG